This 460-nucleotide ribosomal RNA is filed under the name uncultured bacterium. Its description in RNAcentral is "partial 16S ribosomal RNA". It matches the Rfam family "Bacterial small subunit ribosomal RNA", at positions 338 to 795 of the family's 1533-position model. The record is from RNAcentral.
CCUACGGGGGGCAGCAGUGGGGAAUAUUGGACAAUGGGCGGAAGCCUGAACCAGCCAAGUAGCGUGCAGGAUGACGGCCCUACGGGUUGUAAACUGCUUUUAUACGGGAAUAACGCGCCUUACGUGUAGGGCUUUGCAUGUACCGUAUGAGUAAGGACAGGCUAAUUCCGUGCCAGCAGCCGCGGUAAUACGGAAGGUCCGGGCGUUAUCCGGAUUGAUUGGGUUUAAGGGGAGCGUAGGCCGCAUGUCAAGCGUGCUGUGAAAUGUCCGGGCUCAACCCGGGCCUUGCAGCGCGAACUGGCGUGCUUGAGUCCGCGGAAGGCAGGCGGAAUUCGUGGUGUAGCGGUGAAAUGCUUAGAUAUGACGAAGAACCCCGAUUGCGAAGGCAGCUUGCUGCAGCGGAACUGACGCUGAUGCUCGAAAGCGCGGGUAUCGAACAGGAUUAGAUACCCUAGUAGUC